This 253-nucleotide ribosomal RNA is filed under the name uncultured bacterium. Its description in RNAcentral is "partial 16S ribosomal RNA". It matches the Rfam family "Bacterial small subunit ribosomal RNA", at positions 524 to 776 of the family's 1533-position model. The record is from RNAcentral.
CACGUAGGGUGCGAGCGUUGCCCGGAUUUAUUGGGCGUAAAGGGCGCGCAGGCGGUACGGCACGUCCGUUGUGAAAUCGCUCGGCUCAACUGGGCGGGGUCAGCGGAUACGGCCGCACUCGAGCAAGCUAGGGGGCAAUGGAAUUCCCGGUGUAGUGGUGGAAUGCGUAGAUAUCGGGGGGAACACCAGUGGCGAAGGCGGUUGCCUGGAGCUUUGCUGACGCUGAGGCGCGAAAGCGUGGGGAGCGAUCCGG